Non-coding RNA from Nematostella vectensis (starlet sea anemone), 47 nucleotides. Lineage: Eukaryota; Metazoa; Cnidaria; Anthozoa; Actiniaria; Edwardsiidae. The record is from Rfam.
CGGACGGGACGACCCGUACAACAAACCUUCUGCACGGGACGACCUGU